GCAAUAUUGUUUACAAGCAUGCCCUAUGAAUCUAUCUAGACGGUUACAUUGAUAUAUUCUAUCCGACCCCAUAUGAUUCAAUGGGUGAAAAUUUUAAUUCACGUUUGCAUCCUCAAAAAUUUACCUGGUUGGAGGUUGUCUUGUGUCUGUUAGUUACAACCCAAACAUUGCAGUGAGCUUGUUACUCAAUUUAUAUGUAAUACAUUAUCGAUUAUCCAACCUGGG
This is a non-coding RNA of Pelobates cultripes (western spadefoot toad), 225 nucleotides long. The record is from the annotation of a GenBank genome assembly. NCBI's taxonomy places the organism in Eukaryota, Metazoa, Chordata, Amphibia, Anura, Pelobatidae.